Molecule: long non-coding RNA, 392 nt
Organism: Homalodisca vitripennis (glassy-winged sharpshooter)
Lineage: Eukaryota; Metazoa; Arthropoda; Insecta; Hemiptera; Cicadellidae
Exons: 3
Source: RefSeq, a predicted model, not a curated record
UUGCCAAUUUCCUUUUGAGCUUCUUCCCAGAAUCUGACUUUAUUAUACCUGAUCGUCCAGAAGAAAAAUAUAAACUGUGCACAGAGGAGAUAUCUACAUUUCCAUCUAAAAUAACAUUUUUCUGGUGCGUUAGUUUGCUGAGGAAAGGAUGUAAAACCACACUAAACUUAGAUCAUCUGUGGAACUUGUAUCCUAAACAAGCUUUAACAACUAUUAAUGGGAAAACAGGUGGAGUCGGUGAAACUGUUAAGCAAAUCUUAAAAACAUUUAAAAAUAGAAGAGCACCAUGUUCUGUUUUUGGGCCCAUCUUGAAAGCUAUUAGGUCAGAAUUUGUCUUUGCUGCAAGUCUCAAAUUCUGUUCUGAUUUCCUAACAUUCUGCAAUAUUUUUCUA